RNAcentral lists this transfer RNA (89 nucleotides) under Bacteroidota bacterium. Its description in RNAcentral is "Bacteroidetes bacterium (hydrothermal vent metagenome) tRNA-Ser". It matches the Rfam family "tRNA". Rfam says of the family: Transfer RNA (tRNA) molecules are approximately 80 nucleotides in length. Their secondary structure includes four short double-helical elements and three loops (D, anti-codon, and T loops). The record is from RNAcentral. Lineage: Bacteria; Pseudomonadati; Bacteroidota.
GGAGACGUGGGUGAGUGGCUGAAACCACAGGUUUGCUAAAUCUGCAGUCUGGGAAACCGGGCUCGGGGGUUCGAAUCCCUCCGUCUCCG